CCUACGGGAGGCAGCAGUGGGGAAUAUUGGGCAAUGGGCACAAGCCUGACCCAGCAACGCCGCGUGAAGGAAGAAGGCUUUCGGGUUGUAAACUUCUUUUCUCAGGGACGAAGCAAGUGACGGUACCUGAGGAAUAAGCCACGGCUAACUACGUGCCAGCAGCCGCGGUAAUACGUAGGUGGCAAGCGUUAUCCGGAUUUACUGGGUGUAAAGGGCGGGUAGGCGGGGACGCAAGUCAGAUGUGAAAACCACGGGCUCAACCUGUGGCCUGCAUUUGAAACUGUGUUUCUGGAGUACUGGAGAGGCAGACGGAAUUCCGAGUGUAGCGGUGAAAUGCGUAGAUAUACGGAGGAACACCAGUGGCGAAGGCGGAUUGCUGGACAGUAACUGACGCUGAGGCGCGAAAGCGUGGGGAGCAAACAGGAUUAGAUACCCCUGUAGUC
This 443-nucleotide ribosomal RNA is filed under the name uncultured bacterium. RNAcentral's name for it is "partial 16S ribosomal RNA". It matches the Rfam family "Bacterial small subunit ribosomal RNA", at positions 338 to 795 of the family's 1533-position model. The record is from RNAcentral.